Molecule: long non-coding RNA, 785 nt
Filed under: Ananas comosus (pineapple)
Lineage: Eukaryota; Viridiplantae; Streptophyta; Magnoliopsida; Poales; Bromeliaceae
Description: long non-coding RNA (ACOM_LNC005336)
Source: RNAcentral
CGGGGAAAAGAUCGAAGAACACGAAAUCAACGAAAAGAAACGGAUCGAACGAGAUCAAAAUUUAGCGAUGGAGAGGUGGCUGCGGCUGUGGAUGGCGGCUGCGGUUGUGGAUGGCAACAGCGGCGGUAGUUGUGAGCUGAAGGGGAAGGAGGAAGAGAAGGAGGAAGAAGGAGGAUGACGACGAGAAAGCGGAGGGGAAGAAAGAUGAGGAAGAAGAAGAGAAAGAAAAUGGUGUAAAUUUCACCCAAAGAGUACAACUUUUACCUAAAGAGUGUAAUCUCAUCCCAAAAGUGUAAUUCUGUCUUAAAGAGUGCAAUUUUUAUUUAAAAUAGUGCAAAAAUCUUUUAAAAUAGUGUAACUUUAUUUUAACAGUGUAAUUUCAUCAUCUUCUUUAUUCUUCUAUAAUUUUUGAUCUUUUCUGUAGAAAAAAAUUUUUUUUUUUAUUUUUUUUUAUUAUUCUUUUUUUUUUCUCUCUAUAAUUUUUUUGGUCACGACCUCUCCCUUGCCCUCUAUCGCAGCCAUCGCCUUCGCCGGAGUAUAACUAUUUUUGUAGUGUCCUUAGAGUUUAGCGGUCGGAGUGAUUACAGUAUUUGUGGUUUGUCGACACAUCUGUAGAGUGUCGGGACGAGUUUGAGUCGUUUGGCGCGAAAUGGACGCAAAAACGGACUCGGCGUAGUGCGAGAUUGGAGUUCUGCCACUGAAAUCUGCAAAUUGCAGGUUUGAGUGUCGAGUACCGAUACCUGUGUGGAGUACCGGUACUGGGACUGGGUACCGGUACUGCAUCG